CCAGUGUCUCACUCAGCCAUCAUCAGAGGAGCUUCCUCCUGCAGUAGAUGGGAACUAACACAGAGACCCACAGCUGGACAAUGUGCAGAGACUCAGCAUGAGCUAGGGAAGCAAGUGUGACACUCAUCAUCCUUAAACAGAGAAAUUCAGAGCCCUUCCGAGUGGGAAGAAUCAUCCUCACCUUCCAGAAUGAAGAAAGUCAGAGAUGAAAUCAUGGCAGCCACGGGUGCUUGCUGGCUGCUAAUCACUGUCCGAAAUGAUUUCCAAAUUCUGCCUCCAUUUGGGCCUUCUUCUGGUGUCUGGAUUAGAGAGAGAGCCUAGGAGAAGAUUCCUGGGAGACAGGACAUGUGGAAGGGGGCAU
This is a long non-coding RNA of Peromyscus eremicus (cactus mouse), 361 nucleotides long. RefSeq lists it as uncharacterized. The record is from RefSeq and is a predicted model, not a curated record. The transcript has 3 exons. NCBI's taxonomy places the organism in Eukaryota, Metazoa, Chordata, Mammalia, Rodentia, Cricetidae.